Molecule: ribosomal RNA, 252 nt
Filed under: Klebsiella pneumoniae
Lineage: Bacteria; Pseudomonadati; Pseudomonadota; Gammaproteobacteria; Enterobacterales; Enterobacteriaceae
Description: partial 23S ribosomal RNA
Rfam family: Bacterial large subunit ribosomal RNA
Source: RNAcentral
GGGUUGUGAGGUUAAGCGACUAAGCGUACACGGUGGAUGCCCUGGCAGUCAGAGGCGAUGAAGGACGUGCUAAUCUGCGAAAAGCGUCGGUAAGGUGAUAUGAACCGUUAUAACCGGCGAUGUCCGAAUGGGGAAACCCAGUGUGAUUCGUCACACUAUCGUUAACUGAAUACAUAGGUUAACGAGGCGAACCGGGGGAACUGAAACAUCUAAGUACCCCGAGGAAAAGAAAUCAACCGAGAUUCCCCCAGU